AAUGUUUUAGGUUAAGAAAACCCAUAACCUUCAAAGUUAUUAAUAAAUUGUUUUGUUUAAACAUUA
This 66-nucleotide transfer RNA is filed under the name Gibbosaverruca weijiai. Its description in RNAcentral is "tRNA-Trp". Lineage: Eukaryota; Metazoa; Arthropoda; Thecostraca; Verrucomorpha; Verrucidae. The record is from RNAcentral.